Molecule: ribosomal RNA, 477 nt
Filed under: Triticum aestivum (bread wheat)
Lineage: Eukaryota; Viridiplantae; Streptophyta; Magnoliopsida; Poales; Poaceae
Description: partial small subunit ribosomal RNA
Source: RNAcentral
AUGUUCCUUGCUAGUAAUCAGUUCUUAGGAUGUCUUCCACAAGAAAUAGGUUUGCUGGUGAAUUUACAACGUCUGGAUCUUAGCACAAACAAAUUGAUAGGCUCUAUCCCCAAUAUCUUUGGAAAUUUGACAAAGCUCACCACCUUGCAACUCAGUUACAAUCAAUUCUCCGGAGAAGCUCCUCGAGAAAUUGGCACCUUAAUGGAUCUCGAGCUAUUGCAGUUGGAUGGUAACAAUAUAUCUGGUCCUUUGCCACCUGACUUGUGCUCUGGAGGGCGGUUGAAGAAUUUAACUGGAUCUGAUAAUAAUCUGAAUGGACAACUUCCAUCAAGUUUGAUACAUUGCCGAAGCCUAGUCAGAGUUCGUAUUGGAAGGAAUCAGAUAGAGGGAGAUAUCUCUGCUUUAGGAGUUCAUCCUAAUCUGGUGUAUAUGGAUAUGAGCUCGAAUAAACUGUUUGGUCAAUUAUCUUAUAACUAG